This 92-nucleotide small nuclear RNA is filed under the name Zea mays. RNAcentral's name for it is "Zm_84". It matches the Rfam family "U1 spliceosomal RNA", at positions 70 to 166 of the family's 166-position model. Rfam says of the family: U1 is a small nuclear RNA (snRNA) component of the spliceosome (involved in pre-mRNA splicing). Its 5' end forms complementary base pairs with the 5' splice junction, thus defining the 5' donor site of an intron. There are significant differences in sequence and secondary structure between metazoan and yeast U1 snRNAs, the latter being much longer (568 nucleotides as compared to 164 nucleotides in human). The record is from RNAcentral. Lineage: Eukaryota; Viridiplantae; Streptophyta; Magnoliopsida; Poales; Poaceae.
ACGUGGCGGGUGCGCUGGCCUACCAUCUCCCCAAGUGGGAGAGUGGACGUCAUAAUUUGUGGCAGAGGGGUACGCGUCCGCGCGGCCCUGUU